GGGACAACAUUUGGAAACAGAUGCUAAUACCGCAUAACAGCGUUGUUCGCAUGAACAACGCUUAAAAGAUGGCUUCUCGCUAUCACUUCUGGAUGGACCUGCGGUGCAUUAGCUUGUUGGUGGGGUAACGGCCUACCAAGGCGAUGAUGCAUAGCCGAGUUGAGAGACUGAUCGGCCACAAUGGGACUGAGACACGGCCCAUACUCCUACGGGAGGCAGCAGUAGGGAAUCUUCCACAAUGGGCGCAAGCCUGAUGGAGCAACACCGCGUGAGUGAAGAAGGGUUUCGGCUCGUAAAGCUCUGUUGUUAAAGAAGAACACGUAUGAGAGUAACUGUUCAUACGUUGACGGUAUUUAACCAGAAAGUCACGGCUAACUACGUGCCAGCAGCCGCGGGAAUACGUAGGUGGCAAGCGUUAUCCGGAGUUAUUGGGCGUAAAGGAGAGUGCAGGCGGUUUUCUAAGUCUGACGAGAAAGCCUUUCGGCUUAACCGGACAAGUGCAUCGGAAACUGGAUAACUUGAGU
RNAcentral lists this ribosomal RNA (524 nucleotides) under uncultured bacterium. Its description in RNAcentral is "bacterial SSU rRNA". It matches the Rfam family "Bacterial small subunit ribosomal RNA", at positions 140 to 647 of the family's 1533-position model. The record is from RNAcentral.